CCCAGACUCCUACGGGAGGCAGCAGUGGGGGAUAUUGCACAAUGGGGGGAACCCUGAUGCAGCGACGCCGCGUGGGUGAAGGAGCGUUUCGGCGCGUAAAGCCCUAUCGGCAGGGAAGAAGGAGGACGGUACCUGACUAAGAAGCCCCGGCUAACUACGUGCCAGCAGCCGCGGUAAUACGUAGGGGGCAAGCGUUAUCCGGAUUUACUGGGUGUAAAGGGGGCGCGGACGGCAGCGCAAGCCAGGAGUGAAAGCCCGGGGCCCAACCCCGGGACUGCUCUUGGAACUGUGCGGCUGGAGUGCAGGAGGGGCAGGCGGAAUUCCUGGUGUAGCGGUGAAAUGCGUAGAUAUCAGGAGGAACACCGGUGGCGAAGGCGGCCUGCUGGACUGCGACUGACGUUGAGGCCCGAAAGCGUGGGGAGCAAACAGGAUUAGAUACCCCCGUACA
This 448-nucleotide ribosomal RNA is filed under the name uncultured bacterium. Its description in RNAcentral is "partial 16S ribosomal RNA". It matches the Rfam family "Bacterial small subunit ribosomal RNA", at positions 330 to 794 of the family's 1533-position model. The record is from RNAcentral.